UAAGGAAUAUUGGUCAAUGGACGCAAGUCUGAACCAGCCAUGCCGCGUGAAGGAUGACGGCCCUCUGGGUUGUAAACUUCUUUUAUCUGGGACGAAAAAAGAUCAUUCUUGAUCACUUGACGGUACCAGAGGAAUAAGCACCGGCUAACUCCGUGCCAGCAGCCGCGGUAAUACGGAGGGUGCAAGCGUUAUCCGGAUUUACUGGGUUUAAAGGGUGCGUAGGUGGGUCUGUAAGUCAGUGGUGAAAUCUUCGAGCUUAACUCGGAAACUGCCAUUGAUACUAUAGAUCUUGAAUCAUCUGGAGGUGAGCGGAAUAUGUCAUGUAGCGGUGAAAUGCUUAGAUAUGACAUAGAACACCGAUUGCGAAGGCAGCUCACUACGGAUGUAUUGACACUGAGGCACGAAAGCGUGGGGAUCAAACAG
RNAcentral lists this ribosomal RNA (423 nucleotides) under uncultured bacterium. Its description in RNAcentral is "bacterial SSU rRNA". It matches the Rfam family "Bacterial small subunit ribosomal RNA", at positions 355 to 775 of the family's 1533-position model. The record is from RNAcentral.